AGCAGCCGCGGUAAUUCCAGCUCCAAUAGCGUAUAUUAAAGUUGUUGCAGUUAAAAAGCUCGUAGUUGAAUUUCGGGGUCUGUCCGUCGGUCGGGCUUCACGGUCCGUACUGGUGUGAUGGGUUCCUACCUUCUGAAUAACCGGCAUGCCAUUCAGUUGGUGCGCCGGGGAAGCAGAGCUAUUACCUUGAAAAAAUUAGAGUGCUUAAAGCAGGCUAGUGCUUGAAUAGAUUAGCAUGGAAUAAUAAAAUAGGACGGCAUGGUUCUAUUUUGUUGGUUUCUAGGAUCACCGUAAUGAUUAAUAGGGAUAGUUGGGGGCAUUAGUAUUCAAUUGUCAGAGGUGAAAUUCUUGGAUUUAUUGAAGACUAACUACUGCGAAAGCAUUUGCCAAGGAUGUUUUCAUUAAUCAAGAACGAAAGUUAGGGGAUCGAAGACGAUCAGAUACCGUCGUAGUCUUAACCAUAAACUAUGCCGACUAGGGAUCGGAUGAUGUUAAUUUUUUAAUGACUCAUUCGGCGCCU
Molecule: unclassified non-coding RNA, 520 nt
Filed under: uncultured Acaulospora
Lineage: Eukaryota; Fungi; Glomeromycota; Glomeromycetes; Diversisporales; Acaulosporaceae
Description: SSU rRNA
Rfam family: Eukaryotic small subunit ribosomal RNA
Source: RNAcentral